UUUAUUGGAGAGUUUGAUCCUGGCUCAGGACGAACGCUGGCGGCAUGCCUAAUACAUGCAAGUCGAGCGGACUUGAAGAGAAGCUUGCUUCUCUGAUGGUUAGCGGCGGACGGGUGAGUAACACGUAGGCAACCUGCCCUCAAGUUUGGGACAACUACCGGAAACGGUAGCUAAU
RNAcentral lists this ribosomal RNA (175 nucleotides) under Paenibacillus sp. SZ31. RNAcentral's name for it is "partial 16S ribosomal RNA". It matches the Rfam family "Bacterial small subunit ribosomal RNA", at positions 1 to 167 of the family's 1533-position model. Lineage: Bacteria; Bacillati; Bacillota; Bacilli; Caryophanales; Paenibacillaceae. The record is from RNAcentral.